UGAGUAACCUGCCCUUAACUCUGGGAUAAGCCUGGGAAACUGGGUCUAAUACCGGAUAUGACUCCUCAUCGCAUGGUGGGGGGUGGAAAGCUUUUUUGUGGUUUUGGAUGGACUCGCGGCCUAUCAGCUUGUUGGUGAGGUAAUGGCUCACCAAGGCGACGACGGGUAGCCGGCCUGAGAGGGUGACCGGCCANACUGGGACUGAGACACGGCCCAGACCUCCUACGGGAGGCAG
This 235-nucleotide ribosomal RNA is filed under the name uncultured bacterium. Its description in RNAcentral is "partial 16S ribosomal RNA". It matches the Rfam family "Bacterial small subunit ribosomal RNA", at positions 118 to 351 of the family's 1533-position model. The record is from RNAcentral.